AAAAUUGGAACACAAAGUUUUACAAAGGGUAGAAUUCAAACUUUUUUUUUUAAUUCCUGGAAGUUAAAGAAAAGGAAGGUCAAUUUAGUGCUUUACUGAUAAAGUUCUCCAGUGUGUUCCAACAUAUGGUGCCUGAACGUGGGGUAAGAAUUACAAGAAGAAUCAGAGCUGUUUGUGAGAAGGAUCCUUCCAGAAUUAAGAAAGAAGAGCCCGGGUAAGACUUUGUUAGUUGGGGUAAUUAAAUGGGCCAACACAUCAAAGGGCUGAGCCAGGAGACUGAUGAGACUUAAAUGCUGAUUGUGACUACAAUCCUCUUCUCCAUUUAAAAGUUUGCCUCGAUCAACACCUGCUACAACCAUCCAGAAGUGAUAAUGCUGCUUGCAUUCCUCAGUGUGCCGACUAUGCUGUGGGGGGAAAAUAACUGCAAAAAAACAAACAAACAAACAAAAACCGGGGAAUUGUUAAGGGU
This is a long non-coding RNA of Sarcophilus harrisii (Tasmanian devil), 469 nucleotides long. RefSeq lists it as uncharacterized. The record is from RefSeq and is a predicted model, not a curated record. The transcript is spliced from 3 exons. Lineage: Eukaryota; Metazoa; Chordata; Mammalia; Dasyuromorphia; Dasyuridae.